UACAGAGGGUGCGAGCGUUAAUCGGAAUUACUGGGCGUAAAGCGUGCGUAGACGGUUAUUUAAGUCGGAUGUGAAAGCCCCGGGCUCAACCUGGGAAUUGCAUUCGAGACUGAAUAGCUAGGGUGCGGUAGAGGGAAGCGGAAUUUCCGGUGUAGCGGUGAAAUGCGUAGAUAUCGGGAGGAACACCAGUGGCGAAGGCGGCUUCCUGGCCUGUUCUUGACGCUGAGGCGCGAAAGCUAGGGGAGCAAACGGG
Molecule: ribosomal RNA, 253 nt
Filed under: uncultured bacterium
Lineage: Bacteria
Description: partial 16S ribosomal RNA
Rfam family: Bacterial small subunit ribosomal RNA
Source: RNAcentral